GGGUUAAAGUCAUGCUGAGGCCCGGAUUUCUCAUGGCUACGUUGCUGGCUGUGGUGUCGGUCACGGGGUGUCCCAUAGUGGGUCGUCGACUUGUACUUUGGGAGGUCUGGACGGGGAAUGGAGUACAGUAUCAACAAGCUUCAGGAGCAGCCACUAAAAGCAGUUCAUAUAUGUAAGGAUCUGCUAUGCCUCCCUUCUG
This 199-nucleotide long non-coding RNA is filed under the name Pogona vitticeps (central bearded dragon). Its description in RNAcentral is "lncRNA (ENSPVIG00000003572.1)". The record is from RNAcentral. Lineage: Eukaryota; Metazoa; Chordata; Lepidosauria; Squamata; Agamidae.